GACGAACGCUGGCGGCGUGCUUAACACAUGCAAGUCGAACGGAAAGGCCCUGCUUUUGUGGGGUGCUCGAGUGGCGAACGGGUGAGUAACACGUGAGUAACCUGCCCUUGACUUUGGGAUAACUUCAGGAAACUGGGGCUAAUACCGGAUAGGAGCUCCUGCUGCAUGGUGGGGGUUGGAAAGUUUCGGCGGUUGGGGAUGGACUCGCGGCUUAUCAGCUUGUUGGUUGGGUAGUGGCUUACCAAGGCUUUGACGGGUAGCCGGCCUGAGAGGGUGACCGGACACAUUGGGACUGAGAUACGGCCCAGACUACUACGGGAGGCAGCAGUGGGGAAUAUUGCACAAUGGGCGGAAGCAUGAUGCAGCAAAGCAGCGUGCGGGAUGACGGCCUUCGGGUUGUAAACCGCUUUCGCCUGUGACGAAGCGUGAGUGACGGUAAUGGGUAAAGAAGCACCGGCUAACUACGUG
RNAcentral lists this ribosomal RNA (468 nucleotides) under uncultured bacterium. RNAcentral's name for it is "partial 16S ribosomal RNA". It matches the Rfam family "Bacterial small subunit ribosomal RNA", at positions 28 to 507 of the family's 1533-position model. The record is from RNAcentral.